AGCUGGGGUUGGGACUCCCCGGCUGGAAAGCACUCGGGGGAAGCCGGGGAAGCCCCGGCUUAUUCGGCUUAUUCGCUCCUUGUGCCUCGAUUGCUCACGCUGGCUUCCGCCCUGCAUCCUGCACCUUUCAGCCAGAACCCGAUGGAGGUACAGAACGGGAGGUGGUAGUGCUGGUGGUGGUGGAUCAACAAUGGAAUUUUUUACGAAAGCCUACGCCCCGGGCCCCUCCCAGCUCUGGCUCUGCUCAGACACCCUUCUCCCCUCCAACUGCGGGCCAGGCCGCCCCGCCCUCUUGACCAAGACUUCACUACUUAGUGGCACUGUAUACAGUGUUUCCCCUUCUGUGCAGCCACUCUUCUCCCGGGUUCUCUUCUCCAGCCUCCCCUUGCAGAGUAGGGCAGCUUGCGGGUCCUCCUG
This 417-nucleotide long non-coding RNA is filed under the name Rattus norvegicus (Norway rat). Its description in RNAcentral is "long non-coding RNA NONRATT014537". The record is from RNAcentral. Lineage: Eukaryota; Metazoa; Chordata; Mammalia; Rodentia; Muridae.